This 1286-nucleotide ribosomal RNA is filed under the name Escherichia coli. Its description in RNAcentral is "partial 23S ribosomal RNA". It matches the Rfam family "Bacterial large subunit ribosomal RNA", at positions 1680 to 2925 of the family's 2925-position model. The record is from RNAcentral. Lineage: Bacteria; Pseudomonadati; Pseudomonadota; Gammaproteobacteria; Enterobacterales; Enterobacteriaceae.
ACCAAGGCGCUUGAGAGAACUCGGGUGAAGGAACUAGGCAAAAUGGUGCCGUAACUUCGGGAGAAGGCACGCUGAUAUGUAGGUGAAGUCCCUCGCGGAUGGAGCUGAAAUCAGUCGAAGAUACCAGCUGGCUGCAACUGUUUAUUAAAAACACAGCACUGUGCAAACACGAAAGUGGACGUAUACGGUGUGACGCCUGCCCGGUGCCGGAAGGUUAAUUGAUGGGGUUAGCGCAAGCGAAGCUCUUGAUCGAAGCCCCGGUAAACGGCGGCCGUAACUAUAACGGUCCUAAGGUAGCGAAAUUCCUUGUCGGGUAAGUUCCGACCUGCACGAAUGGCGUAAUGAUGGCCAGGCUGUCUCCACCCGAGACUCAGUGAAAUUGAACUCGCUGUGAAGAUGCAGUGUACCCGCGGCAAGACGGAAAGACCCCGUGAACCUUUACUAUAGCUUGACACUGAACAUUGAGCCUUGAUGUGUAGGAUAGGUGGGAGGCUUUGAAGUGUGGACGCCAGUCUGCAUGGAGCCGACCUUGAAAUACCACCCUUUAAUGUUUGAUGUUCUAACGUUGACCCGUAAUCCGGGUUGCGGACAGUGUCUGGUGGGUAGUUUGACUGGGGCGGUCUCCUCCUAAAGAGUAACGGAGGAGCACGAAGGUUGGCUAAUCCUGGUCGGACAUCAGGAGGUUAGUGCAAUGGCAUAAGCCAGCUUGACUGCGAGCGUGACGGCGCGAGCAGGUGCGAAAGCAGGUCAUAGUGAUCCGGUGGUUCUGAAUGGAAGGGCCAUCGCUCAACGGAUAAAAGGUACUCCGGGGAUAACAGGCUGAUACCGCCCAAGAGUUCAUAUCGACGGCGGUGUUUGGCACCUCGAUGUCGGCUCAUCACAUCCUGGGGCUGAAGUAGGUCCCAAGGGUAUGGCUGUUCGCCAUUUAAAGUGGUACGCGAGCUGGGUUUAGAACGUCGUGAGACAGUUCGGUCCCUAUCUGCCGUGGGCGCUGGAGAACUGAGGGGGGCUGCUCCUAGUACGAGAGGACCGGAGUGGACGCAUCACUGGUGUUCGGGUUGUCAUGCCAAUGGCACUGCCCGGUAGCUAAAUGCGGAAGAGAUAAGUGCUGAAAGCAUCUAAGCACGAAACUUGCCCCGAGAUGAGUUCUCCCUGACUCCUUGAGAGUCCUGAAGGAACGUUGAAGACGACGACGUUGAUAGGCCGGGUGUGUAAGCGCAGCGAUGCGUUGAGCUAACCGGUACUAAUGAACCGUGAGGCUUAACCUUACAACGCCGAAGGUGUUU